AACGAACGCUGGCGGCAUGCCUAACACAUGCAAGUCGAACGAGACCUUCGGGUCUAGUGGCGCACGGGUGCGUAACGCGUGGGAAUCUGCCCUUCGGUUCGGAAUAACAGUGGGAAACUACUGCUAAUACCGGAUAAUGACGUAAGUCCAAAGAUUUAUCGCCGAAGGAUGAGCCCGCGUAGGAUUAGCUAGUUGGUGGGAAGGU
Molecule: ribosomal RNA, 205 nt
Filed under: uncultured bacterium
Lineage: Bacteria
Description: partial 16S ribosomal RNA
Rfam family: Bacterial small subunit ribosomal RNA
Source: RNAcentral